This 344-nucleotide unclassified non-coding RNA is filed under the name soil metagenome. Its description in RNAcentral is "partial contains 5.8S ribosomal RNA, internal transcribed spacer 2, and large subunit ribosomal RNA". The stretch from base 1 to 119 matches the Rfam family "5.8S ribosomal RNA", at positions 35 to 154 of the family's 154-position model. The record is from RNAcentral.
GAUGAAGAACGUAGCGAAAUGCGAUACGUAAUGUGAAUUACAAAUUCAGUGAAUCAUCGAGUCUUUGAACGCACAUUGCGCCCCCUGGUAUUCCGGGGGGCAUGCCUGUCCGAGCGUCAUUGCUGCCCUCAAGCACGGCUUGUGUGUUGGGCCCCGUCCUCCGAUCCCGGGGGACGGGCCCGAAAGGCAGCGGCGGCACCGCGUCCGGUCCUCGAGCGUAUGGGGCUUUGUCACCCGCUCUGUAGGCCCGGCCGGCGCUUGCCGAUCAACCCAAAUUUUUAUCCAGGUUGACCUCGGAUCAGAUAGGGAUACCCGCUGAACUUAAGCAUAUAAUAAGCGGAGGA